Non-coding RNA from Listeria welshimeri serovar 6b str. SLCC5334, 78 nucleotides. The record is from Rfam. NCBI's taxonomy places the organism in Bacteria, Bacillati, Bacillota, Bacilli, Caryophanales, Listeriaceae.
UUACUAUUUGCGCAAGUUUUUAUUUAUAUAGCUAUGCGCUAGCUCGUGAUAAUUCAAGUAUGAAUGAUGAACCAACGA